AUAUAUGGAAUGAUUCGCAGCCAACUCAAGGAUAAUCUUUGAGAGGUCCACAGACUAAGUGGAAGUGAACAUUCAUUAGUUGAAUGUUUAAGAUAUAGUCGAUACUUCUGAUGAGAAAUCUCGAAGUGAAAUAUUAUAGUUCCGUAGGUGAACCUGCGGAAGGAUCAUUA
This 170-nucleotide ribosomal RNA is filed under the name Neoanungitea eucalypti. Its description in RNAcentral is "partial 18S ribosomal RNA". Lineage: Eukaryota; Fungi; Ascomycota; Dothideomycetes; Microthyriales; Microthyriaceae. The record is from RNAcentral.